CGCCGGGGGCGGUGGCCAGGAUCGCGCCGUGCUCGCAGCCCGGCACGUCCACGCAGACCACGGUGAUGUCGUUCGGGCCGGCCGCGGCGGCCA
This 93-nucleotide transfer RNA is filed under the name Actinoplanes octamycinicus. RNAcentral's name for it is "tRNA-Ala". Lineage: Bacteria; Bacillati; Actinomycetota; Actinomycetes; Micromonosporales; Micromonosporaceae. The record is from RNAcentral.